GAUGAACGCUGGCGGCGUGCCUAAUACAUGCAAGUCGAGCGAACAGACGACAACCUUUCUGCUCGGAGGGUAGCGGCGGACGGCUGAUUAACAACUGGAUAACAUACCUAUAACACUUUGUGGACUUCCGGAAGCCAGAGCGAAUACCACAGGAUAUUUUGAACCUCUUGGUUGAAAAGUCAAGGACGGUCUUGCUUUCACUUAGGGAUGGGCUCGCGGUGUAUCAGCUUGUUGGUGAGGUGAUGGCCUACCAAGGCGGUGACGGGUAGCCGGCCUGAGAGGGUGGACGGUCACACUGGGACUGAGACACGGCCCAGACUCCUACGGGAGGCAGCAGUGGGGAAUAUUGCACAAUGGGCGCAAGCCUGAUGCAGCGACGCCGCGUGAGUGAUGGAGGCCGUCGGGUUGUGAACCUCUUUCGCCAGUGAAGCAGGCCUGCCUCGUUUGUGGGUGGGUUGACGGUAGCUGGAUAAGAAGCGCCGGCUAACUACGUG
This 494-nucleotide ribosomal RNA is filed under the name uncultured bacterium. RNAcentral describes it as "partial 16S ribosomal RNA". It matches the Rfam family "Bacterial small subunit ribosomal RNA", at positions 28 to 507 of the family's 1533-position model. The record is from RNAcentral.